This 560-nucleotide long non-coding RNA is filed under the name Zonotrichia albicollis (white-throated sparrow). RNAcentral describes it as "lncRNA (ENSZALG00000010863.1)". Lineage: Eukaryota; Metazoa; Chordata; Aves; Passeriformes; Passerellidae. The record is from RNAcentral.
GCUACUCAAGAGGCAGAACUGCAACUGAAAAAUCAAGGUACUGAAGCUUUGAUUGCUAAGAUAGGGUGUCAGACUGAGAAACUGAGCCAAGAAAAGGCCAUUGCAGAUGCAGAGGAGCUAAAGGAAAUUAUAUGGCUGAGAGAUGUAUUUCUUCUGAUGGUUUCCUACCUGUGAAAUGUUAGAGGAUGAUGAGAGACUGCUCAUAAGAAAAGUUCAGCAGAUGGAAUGAAGUCUGCAGAUUGUCCAAAAAACGGAUUGGAGCCAGGCCAUUGAAAAUCUCAAAGCACAGAAGAAAACUUUCAUGUGGUGACAUCUUAUUGACAGCAGCAUUUGUGUCUUACUUUGGAACCUGCAUAAAACAACAUCACCAGGACCCAAAGGGACAUUUCUGGAUUACUUCUCUAAAGAAGGCCUGGACCCAGUUCACCACAUUGAGGGAUGAUGCUACGGCUGUGGCAUGGAGUAAGGAUGGUGAUAGGAUGUCAACAGAUAACACCACUCUUCUAACAAACUGUGCCCUUCAUAUGCUGUCAUCAAGUGAUGGGGAGGAAAUGAAGUGA